This 460-nucleotide ribosomal RNA is filed under the name uncultured bacterium. RNAcentral's name for it is "partial 16S ribosomal RNA". It matches the Rfam family "Bacterial small subunit ribosomal RNA", at positions 338 to 795 of the family's 1533-position model. The record is from RNAcentral.
CCUACGAGAGGCAGCAGUGAGGAAUAUUGGUCAAUGGACGCAAGUCUGAACCAGCCAUGCCGCGUGCAGGAAGACGGCCCUAUGAGUUGUAAACUGCUUUUGUACGAGGGUAAACGCAGAUACGCGUAUCUGUCUGAAAGUAUCGUACGAAUAAGGAUCGGCUAACUCCGUGCCAGCAGCCGCGGGAAUACGGAGGAUUCAAGCGUUAUCCGGAUUUAUUGGGUUUAAAGGGUGCGUCGGCGGUCGGAUAAGUUAGAGGUGAAAUCCCGGGGCUCAACUUCGGAAGUGCCUCUGGUACUGUUCGGCUAGAGAGUAGUUGCGGUAGGCGGAAUGUAUGGUGUAGCGGUGAAAUGCUUAGAGAUCAUACAGAACACCGAUUGCGAAGGCAGCUUACCAAGCUACAUCUGACGUUGAGGCACGAAAGCGUGGGGAGCAAACAGGAUUAGAUACCCGAGUAGUC